AGUGAACGCUGGCGGUAGGCCUAACACAUGCAAGUCGAACGGCAGCACAGUAAGAGCUUGCUCUUACGGGUGGCGAGUGGCGGACGGGUGAGGAAUACAGCGGAAUCUACUUUUUCGUGGGGGAUAACGUAGGGAAACUUACGCUAAUACCGCAUACGACCUACGGGUGAAAGCAGGUGAUCUUCGGACCUUGCGCGAUUGAAUGAGCCGAUGUCGGAUUAGCUAGUUGGCGGGGUAAAGGCCCACCAAGGCGACGAUCCGUAGCUGGUCUGAGAGGAUGAUCAGCCACACUGGAACUGAGACACGGUCCAGACUCCUACGGGAGGCAGCAGUGGGGAAUAUUGGACAAUGGGCGCAAGCCUGAUCCAGCCAUACCGCGUGGGUGAAGAAGGCCUUCGGGUUGUAAAGCCCUUUUGUUGGGAAAGAAAAGCAGCAGGUUAAUACCCCGCUGUUCUGACGGUACCCAAAGAAUAAGCACCGGCUAACUUCGUG
RNAcentral lists this ribosomal RNA (492 nucleotides) under uncultured bacterium. RNAcentral describes it as "partial 16S ribosomal RNA". It matches the Rfam family "Bacterial small subunit ribosomal RNA", at positions 29 to 507 of the family's 1533-position model. The record is from RNAcentral.